RNAcentral lists this transfer RNA (73 nucleotides) under Bradyrhizobium sp. SSBR45R. RNAcentral's name for it is "tRNA-Gly". The record is from RNAcentral. Lineage: Bacteria; Pseudomonadati; Pseudomonadota; Alphaproteobacteria; Hyphomicrobiales; Nitrobacteraceae. RNAcentral also lists the same sequence under 1 other name.
GAGCCGUGGUGAAGACGACUGUUACUUCGCCUUCCACGCGAGAGGUCGCGGGUUCGAAUCCCGCCCGGCGUUC